AUGAACAAGGAGAGGCUCAUGAAGAUGGUCGGCGCCGUCCGCACCGGCGGCAAUGGCACCGUGCACUGGAAGAAGAAGGCGGUGCACAAGAUGGCGACCACGGAUGACAAGUGGCUGCAGAGCAUGCUCAAGAGGGUGGGCGUCAACACCAUCCCCGCAAUCGAGCAGGUCAACAUCUUCAAGGACGACCUCGUCAUCCAGUUCCUCAACCCCAAAGUGCAAGCCUCCAUCGCGGCAAACACAUGGGUGGUCAGUGGGACUCCCCAGACCAAGAAGCUACAAGAUGUUCUUCCUUUGAUCAUCAACCAAUUGGGUAUGCUACUCCCUCAUCGAGGAACUCCAUUGAGAUAG
Molecule: ribosomal RNA, 351 nt
Filed under: Triticum aestivum (bread wheat)
Lineage: Eukaryota; Viridiplantae; Streptophyta; Magnoliopsida; Poales; Poaceae
Description: partial small subunit ribosomal RNA
Source: RNAcentral